GAUGAACGCUGGCGGCGUGCCUAAUACAUGUGAGUCGAGCGAACGGACGAGAAGCUUGCUUUUCUGAUGUUAGCGGCGGACGGGUGAGUAACACGUGGAUAACCUACCUAUAAGACUGGGAUAACUUCGGGAAACCGGAGCUAAUACCGGAUAAUAUUUUGAACCGCAUGGUUCAAAAGUGAAAGACGGUCUUGCUGUCACUUAUAGAUGGAUCCGCGCUGCAUUAGCUAGUUGGUAAGGUAACGGCUUACCAAGGCAACGAUGCAUAGCCGACCUGAGAGGGUGAUCGGCCACACUGGAACUGAGACACGGUCCAGACUCCUACGGGAGGCAGCAGUAGGGAAUCUUCCGCAAUGGGCGAAAGCCUGACGGAGCAACGCCGCGUGAGUGAUGAAGGUCUUCGGAUCGUAAAACUCUGUUAUUAGGGAAGAACAUAUGUGUAAGUAACUGUGCACAUCUUGACGGUACCUAUUCAGAAAGCCACGGCUAACUACGUG
Molecule: ribosomal RNA, 497 nt
Filed under: uncultured bacterium
Lineage: Bacteria
Description: partial 16S ribosomal RNA
Rfam family: Bacterial small subunit ribosomal RNA
Source: RNAcentral